UCACGCUUGUGGGCCACAUGCAAAGUUGCCACUGUACAAAUCCUACCCUGGCUGUUGUCCCUGUCCCUUGGUGGUACGUAGUAGUAGGAACAGGAGAGGGAGUCAGGUGUGGAGAGAAGUCUGGAUUGGCCUGGUGAACUCCAGCGGAGAUCAUAGCCUGAGUUUUGUCCAUGUAAGCUUUGUCCCCGGGCUCUAGUUGGUGGAAUGUGCUAGUGCCCGAAAUAUGGAUGAAAAGAGUUUCUUUGACCGUGGUGCAGAUUUCCCAGCAUCUUGACAAAUUCCCGUUCGAGACAAAAUUGUUCAGGGAGUGGAAUUGGUGGGUACUUCAACUGGAGGCCUUGUUCCUAAUUAAGAAAAAUGCCCUCUUUGGGGGUGCCGAUUUAGGGGGAAAAAGUUGUCCUGCUGCACUGUUGCCUCUCCCAGCCCCCUUGGCAUAGGCAUCGAAAAAUAAGUGAAGUGGAAAUCUCCAUAGUAUUUUGUGGUCAUAAACCAUCCACGGAAGUGAGCUGGAGCCGUGGGAUGCAGAAAAGCUUGCCCAGCUGGCUGCUUUGCACCCACCUUGGAGGGGACAGACUUUGGAAUGUAGGACAUAAGUCAGUUGGAAGUCAGUAGCCUGCCAGCAUCGGUGGCCUCCAGUUCCCUCAUCAGGCUGUGGCUGGCCAGGUGUUAGGGAUUUUUUUUAGGUAAUUGUUUGGUCCUUCAUUUCUUUGGGAGAAGUGAAUGAUUGAUUUUUCCAGGGGUGGGGGUAGUUACUUUACAAAAAAAAAAAAAAGAUUGAACUAAGUACUAGGCUGGGCUAGCCUGUCCUCCAGCAGCCGAUUUCCGCUUUGAUUUAAACAGAUGCAUUUAGCAAAAGCAAGUGAUUUAGUUGAAGGCUUUGAGAUUCUGCUGUGUCUCCUGGCAGACACCUCCCUCCUGGCCCCAACACCACACCCGUUUCCAUCCUUGGAGGACGGGUACCUCAAGGAUUCUCAAGAGGAAGUGACUGGAUGGCCAGGCUUGUUUGUGCUAGAACCUUCUUCAGGAAGCGGCUAAAUGCAAGGUGGAAAGCUGAUGGGAGGAGGAUUUUAGCCAAACCCCCAGGGAGAGCCAUGCUGGACUCAGGUACUGCUUGCUGUGAGGAAACUUCAUUCCCUCAACUCUUAAGUAAAUUGCAACCCUGUGAAUAAUUAACCUCGCCCUUCUAGGUUUUGUUUUUAAAAUAAAAUCCCAACUUAUUAAAGAUUAAAGAUCAGUUUUUGCCUAGCAGGAUAGGAAUGAUAAAAGAUAUAUUGGGAGAAGCUAGUCCCUUGGUCUCUACCAUCAAGUCUCCUGCAUGGCACAGAGAUGUCACCAAGACUCAAAGCAACAGUCUUGUGUGCCUGCUGAGGCUGGGCUGGUGGCUUGUCGAAUGAGGAAUAAGCAUCGCGGAGCCUGCCACAGCAAGUCACCCCAGAUCUCAAGGACCUCACGUCAGCAGGGGAUAGUCGUCUUCAAGAUGUCUUCAGGUCCCCAGGAGCCAGCUUGGAAACAUUCGUCAUCCACAAGAUGGUGUCAGUGCUUGGCUUAUGGUGGACGACCAUGAUUGUGCCGCCAGCCCUGGAUCUGUGGGCUCUGUGCCCCCACCUCUGCUAGAGACUGCUGGUGUCUCACGGGUAAAGGUUAGACAGGAUUUACUCUCGCUGGUGGAAGGUGAGUGAGGCUUGGUGAACUGAGACUCUCACACUCGGGACGGACAAGGGCGACCGCUGUUCCAUCAGCUCUAACAGCUUUGCUGGCUCUUCCUAACUUUAGUCUCCACCUCCCCUGGAGCCUCUUUGCUCGUGCUGGUCCCUGCCCCAGACCUCCUUGUUCCUUCCCAUGGUCCUCAUUCUUUACCAAAGCGUUUCCCACAGUACAGGGCUGGGGAGUUGGCUCAGUCAGUAAAGUGCUUGUCACACGUUCCAUUCUGGACAUCACUCACCUGUGACUCAGGUGACAAGGCAGAGACGGCUCUGUGGGACUGGCCACCCACCCAGUUCAGCCGAAUCCAGGUUCAGUGAGACACCCCGUCUAAGAGGAUUGAGGAAGGCACCUUGAGGUGGACCUCUGACCUCCACACACAUGAACACAAUGUGUUGAAUACAAGACUGGGUCUCACUAUGUAGACCAGGCUGGCCUCCAGCUCACAGAGAUCCCACCUGCCUCUCCCUCUCAAGUGCUGUCAAAUACCGUAGAGUAUUUGAAAAUAUGAGAAUUGCUCUCCAAUGCUGUCGAGCAUCAGAGGGAGGAACGAGGCUCAUAAAUGCCCGUACCUGAAUUGUCUGUUGUGAGCCAUGCCUGCACACUUUCCUUCUGGCCUUACUGCAUUAUCAGAAUGGGGACUUUUACUUGUGGAGGAGGGGCACGUGCCAAGGGGCACACGUGGGGGCCAAAGGACUACCAGGGAUAAACUUAGACCGUCAGGUUUGUUGGCGAGGGCCUUUACUUGCUGAGCCAUCUUGCCAGCACCUUUUGAAAAUGUAUUACUGUGUUCUCUUACCUUCAUAUGGGUUCCUGGGAAUGAACUCAGUUGUCAGCCUUACAGGGCAAGCACCUUUACCCACUGAGCCAGAGGGGGACUUUUUAAUGGGAGCCAGGCCUCUCACCCAGUGAGCCACCGGGCUGUGCCCCUGGAAGCCUGGAUUUCUCUCCCCACCUCCCAAGGAGAAUACAGAUAUUUCUGGCCAGGAACUCAGAGGUCUUGCAGUCUUGCUGAAGGGAGCCUGAGGGGAGGUCCUCAGUGAGGAUGUCCUUGACUGGCAGCUCUGGCAGGCUUUUUGACCCUUGAAUCACUCACUUAAGGCAGCGGUUCUCGACCUUCCUCAUGCUGUAAUCCUUUAAAUACAGCUCUCCAUGUUGUGGUGACCCCCCAGCCUAAAAUCAUUUCGUUGCUACUUCAUAGCUGUAAUUUUGCUACUGCUGUGAUUGUAAUGUGAAUACGCAGGGUACCUGAUAUGUGACCCCCCCAAAGGGGUUGUGACCCCCAGGUUGAGAACGGCUGACUUGAGUGUGGAAGGCCGUGACUGGGUGUCUGUUGACGCAAACUAGAUCAGAGUUGGGGGGAUCAAGAGGAGCCUGGGGUGGGCGCCCUGACUUGCUGUUGACUUUUUCUUGCCUGCCUUUGUGUGUUGUUUAGCAGCCGGGAGGAACCACCAGGCUACAGGCCCGCCAGAGGCGACGGAAGACAUUCCCUCCAACUCUUCCGGGAGAACCCCUUGGAGGGUGGAACCAUUUGCCUUUGGCAGAUGAAGGUGAUCAGGGUACUUACUGAGGGCACACCAAGGAAAUGGCAGAGCCGGGAUUCACAUCUGCACUUCUGACUCCAAGAUCAGCGGCAUUUCUGUAAUAACCGUGGAGGACACUUGAGCCGGGAAUGCUGGUCCCUUGAGGGUAGUUACACUGCCGGACACUGAUGUGACAUUUGGGUCUUCACAUGGUGGAUGAGGUCUUAUACCAUUGAUUCUACAAGAUGACCUUUCCUGACAAUUUCUUCUCUGGCCUCUGGCCCUGGCUGAACCCAAGGCUGGUGGACCUGGAUUGAGCUGCAGUCCUUGUCUCUGCCCUGCGUUCCCUGAGCUUUGGAUCACUGAAGCCCAGGAUAUAAGGAGGUGUCCUUCCCAUUGGAGGUUCAAGUUCAGACUCCCGCAGCUGCAGGGCUCUUCCUUAGGCCCCUGGCUUUUCUGCACAGCUUCCCCAUGCCCUGCCAUGUCUUGGGGACAGGCACUCAGCAGCUUUCUGGUUCGCCUAAGUGCUGGAGAAGCCAUACUACCCUGUCACCCGAUUUUUUUAGAAUUUAUUUUUUAGUCCUGGAGUUUGAACUAUGGACUUUUAGACAUGCUAGACAAGUGUUCUACCACUGAGCUAUAUGCCCAGUCCUUUUUUGAUUUGAGACAGAAUCUUAGGUCAUCCAGCCUAGGCUUGAACUCAGUCCUUUUGCCUGUAUCUCGAGAGCGCUGGCAUUAUAGCUGAGUGCCACCGUGCCCACCUGGCUUUCUUGUUUUGACUCCUGUGUCAGGAAAGCAACCCUGGCUGGAGGUGGGGUCCAUUCCUGAUGAGUUGGCCAUGGUAGAGCUGUCUAGACAUAGGAGUGGGUAAUAGCAUGGUAGAGGGACGGGUAGCUGUCAGCUUUUCAUGGACCUUGUUUCUAUUGGUAUUUUGUUCCUUCAAAGGUCAUGCUUUACUCUGUAUCAUCAGGGUUCAGGUAGGGCCAGCUCCCCCCACUCCCUGGUUCUAGAGGUAGGCAUAUGUCCCAGACCUGGGUAAAGACUGCAGAGUUGUCCCCCCCCCUCCUCCUGAUCCCCAUCAUGGGACUUCAGCUGUAUCUUUUCAUGGGAGUUAAGAUGUCAGCUUGGAAUUGCUGGUGGCCAGUUUAUGCAACUGAGGAUGAAGCCAACAAAGAAGAAAGAAAACACAGGUUAUGCCGUGUGGACUUGUUCCUUGAUACCCUGGAUAAGCCCCUGGAUCAAGCCAUGCCUGAAGCCAACAUUUGUGCUAACCUGAUUAUAUGAACCUAUGGAUUUGUUUUUUCUUCCAAAACAAACCCAUUUUGGGUUUGUGUUACAGAAAGCUUCCUAGUUCAGGCAAUGAUUUCCUCCCUUCCUCUCAGAACAGCAUCGUUGAGAUGUUCUUUCUUUCCAUGAAGCAGAAGUGUACCAUUCCUAGUCUUUACAGGAACAAACACCUUUGUAACUAUCACCACCAGACUGAAAUCUUACUUACCUGCCCUGGAAAGCUCUCUUGAUCGAUCUCCUUGAUGGUUAGUCCUCCAGCCCUGGCCUACCGCUGACCUGUUUUUCUAGUGAUUCUUGUCUUUUCUGGAUCAUCCCAUGGUGUAUAUCAUGAGUCUAGUUUCUCUUAGUGUAUUUUCAUUGUUCAUUCCUCCAUGUGCAUUAGGGUCCAUCCAUCCACUCCAUUGUAGGCCGGGUGCCAUCAUGCCCUGUGGGUACACUACCAUUUGUUUAUCCAUCUGGCAUACAAAGACUGUCUUCAGAUUUUGGUUGAUAUGAAUAAAGAUGUUUUGCAUCUUCAAAUAUCA
Long non-coding RNA from Arvicola amphibius (Eurasian water vole), 5035 nucleotides. RefSeq lists it as uncharacterized. The record is from RefSeq and is a predicted model, not a curated record. NCBI's taxonomy places the organism in Eukaryota, Metazoa, Chordata, Mammalia, Rodentia, Cricetidae. The transcript has 3 exons.